Acidaminococcus sp. CAG:917 is the source of this 117-nucleotide ribosomal RNA. NCBI's taxonomy places the organism in Bacteria, Bacillati, Bacillota, Negativicutes, Acidaminococcales, Acidaminococcaceae. The record is from Rfam.
ACCGGUGAUUAUAGCAAGGAGGAUCCACCUGUUCUCAUACCGAACACAGAAGUUAAGCUCCUUAGCGCAGAAAGUACUUGAUUGGACACGAUCUGGGAGGAUAUGACGUUGCCGGUU